CCUACGGGAGGCAGCAGUGAGGAAUAUUGGUCAAUGGACGAGAGUCUGAACCAGCCAAGUCGCGUGAAGGAUGACUGCCCUAUGGGUUGUAAACUUCUUUUAUAUGGGAAUAAAAUGUUCCACGUGUGGGAUUUUGUAUAGACCAUAUGGAAAAGGAUCGGACAACUCCGUGCCAGCAGCCGCGGGUAUACGGCGGGUUCGAGCGUUAUCCGGGUUUAUUGGGUUUAAAGGGAUGGUAGGUGGAUUGUUAAGUCAGUUGUGAAAGUUUGCGGCUAAACCGUCGAAGUGCAGUUGAAACUGGCAGUCUUGAGUACACGAGAGGUAGGCGGAAUUCGUGGUGUAGCGGUGAAAUGCUUAGAUAUCACGAAGAACUCCGAUUGCGAAGGCAGCUCACUGG
RNAcentral lists this ribosomal RNA (397 nucleotides) under uncultured bacterium. RNAcentral's name for it is "partial 16S ribosomal RNA". It matches the Rfam family "Bacterial small subunit ribosomal RNA", at positions 338 to 732 of the family's 1533-position model. The record is from RNAcentral.